RNAcentral lists this ribosomal RNA (394 nucleotides) under uncultured bacterium. RNAcentral's name for it is "partial 16S ribosomal RNA". It matches the Rfam family "Bacterial small subunit ribosomal RNA", at positions 523 to 918 of the family's 1533-position model. The record is from RNAcentral.
AUACGUAGGGAGCGAGCGUUGUCCGGAAUUACUGGGCGUAAAGGGCGCGUAGGCGGCGCUUCAAGUCGUCUGUCAAAUGGGAGGGCUUAACCCUUUUUCGCAGACGAAACUGGAGAGCUUGAGAAGCAGAGAGGCAAACAGAAUUCCUGGUGUAGCGGUGAAAUGCGUAGAUAUCAGGAAGAAUACCAGUGGCGAAGGCGGUUUGCUGGCUGCAUACUGACGCUGAAGCGCGAAAGCCAGGGGAGCAAACGGGAUUAGAUACCCCGGUAGUCCUGGCAGUAAACGAUGUAUGCUGGGUGUGAGACUAGCGAUAGUUUCGUGCCGAAGUUAACGCGAUAAGCAUACCGCCUGGGGAGCACGGUCGCAAGAUUGAAACUCAAAGGAAUUGACGGGG